Molecule: ribosomal RNA, 303 nt
Filed under: uncultured bacterium
Lineage: Bacteria
Description: bacterial SSU rRNA
Rfam family: Bacterial small subunit ribosomal RNA
Source: RNAcentral
UGGGGAAUAUUGGGCAAUGGGCGCAAGCCUGACCCAGCAACGCCGCGUGAAGGAAGAAGGCUUUCGGGUUGUAAACUUCUUUUCUCAGGGACGAAGAAAGUGACGGUACCUGAGGAAUAAGCCACGGCUAACUACGUGCCAGCAGCCGCGGUAAUACGUAGGUGGCAAGCGUUAUCCGGAUUUACUGGGUGUAAAGGGCGUGUAGGCGGGAAAGCAAGUCAGAUGUGAAAACCAUGGGCUCAACCUGUGGCCUGCAUUUGAAACUGUUUUUCUUGAGUACUGGAGAGGCAGACGGAAUUCCUC